GACGAACGCUGGCGGCGUGCUUAACACAUGCAAGUCGAACGGAAAGGCCCUUCGGGGUACUCGAUUGGCGAACGGGUGAGUAACACGUGGGUGAUCUGCCCUGCACUUUGGGAUAAGCCUGGGAAACUGGGUCUAAUACCGAAUAGGACCACGCGCUUCAUGGUGUGUGGUGGAAAGCUUUUGCGGUGUGGGAUGGGCCCGCGGCCUAUCAGCUUGUUGGUGGGGUAAUGGCAUACCAAGGCGACGACUGGUAGCCGGCCUGAGAGGGUGAACGCCCACACUGGGACUGAGAUACGGCCCAGACUCCUACGGGAGGCAGCAGUGGGGAAUAUUGCAGAAUGGGCGCAAGCCUGAUGCAGCGACGCCGCGUGAGGGAUGACGGCCUUCGGGUUGUAAACCUCUUUCAAUAGGGACGAAGCGCAAGUGACGGUACCUAUAGAAGAAGCACCGGCCAACUACGUG
This 462-nucleotide ribosomal RNA is filed under the name uncultured bacterium. RNAcentral's name for it is "partial 16S ribosomal RNA". It matches the Rfam family "Bacterial small subunit ribosomal RNA", at positions 28 to 507 of the family's 1533-position model. The record is from RNAcentral.